RNAcentral lists this long non-coding RNA (1090 nucleotides) under Apteryx rowi (Okarito brown kiwi). RNAcentral describes it as "lncRNA (ENSARWG00000011891.1)". The record is from RNAcentral. Lineage: Eukaryota; Metazoa; Chordata; Aves; Apterygiformes; Apterygidae.
AUGGCCCCCCCAGCCCACCUGGAUCUCCUCCACAUCAGCGAUCCAUGCCCGGGCCUUGGCCAGCGCCUCCUUCAGCGCCUGGAUGUUGGGCAGCAGCGCCGGGAUGUUCUCGGCCUCCUUGAUGAUGGCGGCCAGCGUGGCCGGGGGGUGCUUCUGCCUGGCCUCCAGGUAGGCGCGAGGCGACGCCGGCUCUGCCUUGGCCUCGGGCCCUGCCGGCUCGUCCUUCACCACCACCGUGGGGGGGCACUCGGGGCCCUCCUUGUCUGGGGAGGGGGCGCGGGGGCUCAGGGGCGCCCCACGCCCCCCCCGGGCCCCGCCAGGGCCCCCCCGCCGCUCACCUUUCUUCCGCAGCGUCUUGUCUUUGGCCACCAGCCCCAGGCCCAGCAUUUUAGGGCCGGCCCCGUAGAUCUGCAGCUUCUUCAGCUCCGGGUUCUUCUCGAUGUCCUCCUCCGUGGGCUCCGGCUGCGCGACGGGGCAGGGGGUCAGGGCCUGCGCACCCGCAGGGGCAGGGCCCCGCGCCCCGCGGCGGCCGCUCACCUCCUGCUGCAGGCGCUUGGCCCGGCGCCCGUAGCUGUUGAACUUGGAGGGCUGCACGGACUGGCGCAGCGGGAUGCUGUGGGGCUUGUACUCCUUGUCCUUCUCCUCGCUCUCGAAGGGCCGCGUGUUGCACUGCUGGCGGCAGGGGGGGCGUCAGCGGGGCAGCAGCGGGGCGGGGGGUCCCCACACACCCCCCCCGGCACCCCCGUCUCACCACCAGGUUGGCGCCGGACUGGUACAUCUCGUAGGGGUAGAUGAUGCGCUCGUAGUGGGCGCGCAGCAGCGAGCCGAUGUUCUUGCCCGAGGGGUAGGCCAGGCGCUGGGCCACCCGCGCCCACCGCCGGUCCUUGCAGAUGGCCUCGUAGCCCCCUUCCUCCAUCACCACCUGUGGCGGGGGGGGAGGGAGGUGCUGAGCCGCUCGUGGACGGACGGACAGACGGACGGACACCCAUGCCCCCCCGCGCGCCACCGCACCUUGCUGAGGCUGUAGAGGUCGAGGAUCCGCCGCUCCACGUUGGGGAUCUUCAGCGAGGAGCCCUGGAUCUCCCAGAAC